Molecule: long non-coding RNA, 691 nt
Filed under: Marmota monax (woodchuck)
Lineage: Eukaryota; Metazoa; Chordata; Mammalia; Rodentia; Sciuridae
Source: RNAcentral
GAGUUGGGGAGCAGGGCCCAGGCUGAGGGAGGCCAAAGGGCCCAGACAAGCAGUAGGGCUACAUUUUCCCAAAGGGAGGCUGCAGGGACAAAAACCAGGUCCAGUUCCCUGGGCCUGGUGACAAUCCUGGAAAAAGGGUCAGGAAAAGGGGACUGGCAGGGACAGGGACAACAGGAGGGCCAAAGAAAGGCACAGCGUGAAGGGCCGGAGGACCAGUGUUGGUGGGGAAGCAACCAGGACCCCAGAAAGAAACCCAGGCUAGGGACCUAGAGCAGGGUCCAGGCCAGGAGAGAGCAGGGAAGGGCAGGGCCAGGAAGGAGGAUGACACUAGGGUUCUGCAGUGCAGGGAAGCCAAGGGGAACAGGGAAGCAGCUCAAGCAAGGGGCCCGCAGUCCAAGCCCAGGGACGCACAGAGCAAGAAGGUCCACCAGAUGGUGAAGCGAAGAGCCAGGCCAGGGAAUGGAGAGCUAAGGACCAAGGCUGGGGCAGGGGGCUCAGGACAGUGGACAGGGCUGGGGAGGGAAGGCUGUGGAUCCAGUAGGGGGCAGGCUAGGCUCGAAUCCUAGUGCCACUGCCAGGUGUUAUGGUUCUGGGUGCAGGACCAAGGGCCCAGGGAGAGCAAGGGGCCCACCUGAGGGGCAGACCUCUGUUUCCCACUAGAUGCCCUGGCUCAGAUGAGAAUCAAGGGCCA